UCGGGGUUGAAUCUGAGAGGUUCUCCUGCGUCUGAUGUCAGUGUUAAGUGCUCUCCUAAGAAAAAGGACUAGUCCCAUUUGGCUGCUCAAGAAAUUACUGGAGGACCCAGAAUGUCUUACGGAUCCAUUGAUGCGGGCUCUUUUGGAAGCAGAAAUCCGUUUGGUGGGCCCACAAGGCAGGGAUACCAGCCAGUAGCUACGCAAAUCAGUCCCUCAGAGCUGCAAGAUGUGUUCCAGGAAACCUCCUCUAACAUCUUUCAGAUCAAUGCUAACGUGGUAACACUAGAGAAGAACCUUCAAUCGCUGGGAACAUCCAGAGACACAGCAGAGCUACGGCAGAGUUUACAUUCCACACAGCAGCAAACCAAUAAAGCCAUAACAAGCACAAGCCAACUUGUUAAACAACUCACUGACAUCAUCAGCGGGUCUUCACGGCAAGACAGGCUCCGUCUGACGAGACUCAAAACAGAGCUAUCGGACUCUGUGCAGCGAUAUGGAGACCUGCAGAAGAAAAUUGCAGAUCGUUCGAGGGCCUUGCUUCCUCCUGCACAAAAGGACAGGAAACAGAGCCUACAGACUCCAUUCAGUGAACUGGUUGAAGAGGGGCCGUUGUUCGGAGCGGGGGAGGGCAUUGAGGGUGACGGACAAGCAAUCCUGUCAGAGAUCAGUGAAGAAGAUGUGGAGAUCCUGAGGCAGAGAGAAGAAGCACUGCUGCAGAUUGAGACAGCAUUGAAGACUACAUUCAGACCACCUCAUCACAUGUGGAAUCUGCCAAUCAGGAGCUAGCAAAAGCCAGUCAUUAUCAGAGGCAGCUGAGGAGGAGGAAAUGUUAUCUGCUAAUCGCUGGAGUGCUGCUUCUUACUUUGCUUAUCAUCAUUAUUGCAGUCUCAGCCAGAAAAUGAGAUCGAGACCACAGAAAUUGCUGUUUCGACUCUGCUGUGAUCUCUCCUCAACUUCCCAGCAAAAUGAGAGUCUAUAUGUAGAGGUUCACCUGCGCUCACUUCCUCUCUUCUAAUCUAAUCUAUACUUCUGUCGGAUUUUGUGUUUUACUGUGUAUGCAUGUAUGGAAAUGUGUGUGUGUGUGUGUGUGUGUGAAUGUUCGUUAAAAGAGUCUAUUUUUAAUCAGUGCUUUGUACUGUAAUGUGCAAUUAAUUGCUCCUUACCUCUUCAAAGUGGACUUGAAUCAAAGAACAAAAUCCAAAUAGACUGGAUGUUGCUGUAGGGCGU
This is an RNA transcript of Sinocyclocheilus rhinocerous, 1227 nucleotides long. It is a transcript of the gene named t-SNARE domain-containing protein 1-like, with no coding region annotated. The transcript has 11 exons. Lineage: Eukaryota; Metazoa; Chordata; Actinopteri; Cypriniformes; Cyprinidae. The record is from RefSeq and is a predicted model, not a curated record.